RNAcentral lists this ribosomal RNA (640 nucleotides) under uncultured Alphaproteobacteria bacterium. RNAcentral describes it as "bacterial SSU rRNA". It matches the Rfam family "Bacterial small subunit ribosomal RNA", at positions 224 to 881 of the family's 1533-position model. The record is from RNAcentral. Lineage: Bacteria; Pseudomonadati; Pseudomonadota; Alphaproteobacteria.
GAUCGGCCCGCGUCUGAUUAGGUUGUUGGCGGGGUAACGGCCCACCAAGCCGGUGAUCGGUAGCUGGUCUGAGAGGAUGAUCAGCCACACUGGGACUGAGACACGGCCCACACUCCUACGGGAGGCAGCAGUGGGGAAUAUUGGACAAUGGGGGCAACCCCGAUCCAGCAAUGCCGCGUGAGUGAUGAAGGCCUUCGGGUUGUAAAGCUCUUUCGCCCGCGACGAUGAUGACGGUAGCGGGAGAAGAAGCCCCGGCUAACUUCGUGCCAGCAGCCGCGGUAAUACGAAGGGGGCGAGCGUUGUUCGGAUUUACUGGGCGUAAAGGGCGCGCAGGCGGUUUUUCAAGUCAGGCGUGAAAGCCCCGGGCUCAACCUGGGAAUUGCGCUUGGGACUGGAGGACUGGAGUUCGGGAGAGGAGCGUGGAAUUCCCAGUGUAGAGGUGAAAUUCGUAGAUAUUGGGAAGAACACCGGUGGCGAAAGCUGCGCUCUGGACCGAGACUGACGCUGAAGCGCGAAAGCGUGAGGAGCAAACAGGAUUAGAUACCCUGGUAGUCCACGCGGUAAACGAUGUGUGCUAGACGUUGGGGAACCUAACUUUUCGGUGUCCCAGCCCACGCGGGUAGCCCACCGCCUGGGGGAG